UGGGGAAUAUUGCACAAUGGGCGCAAGCCUGAUGCAGCCAUGCCGCGUGUGUGAAGAAGGCCUUCGGGUUGUAAAGCACUUUCAGCGGGGAGGAAGGCGAUAAGGUUAAUAACCUCAUCGAUUGACGUUACCCGCAGAAGAAGCACCGGCUAACUCCGUGCCAGCAGCCGCGGUAAUACGGAGGGUGCAAGCGUUAAUCGGAAUUACUGGGCGUAAAGCGCACGCAGGCGGUCUGUCAAGUCGGAUGUGAAAUCCCCGGGCUCAACCUGGGAACUGCAUUCGAAACUGGCAGGCUAGAGUCUUGUAGAGGGGGGUAGAAUUCCAGGUGUAGCGGUGAAAUGCGUAGAGAUCUGGAGGAAUACCGGUGGCGAAGGCGGCCCCCUGGACAAAGACUGACGCUCAGGUGCGAAAGCGUGGGGGGCAAACAGG
This 429-nucleotide ribosomal RNA is filed under the name Chloroflexota bacterium. Its description in RNAcentral is "Chloroflexi bacterium partial 16S ribosomal RNA". It matches the Rfam family "Bacterial small subunit ribosomal RNA", at positions 355 to 776 of the family's 1533-position model. The record is from RNAcentral. Lineage: Bacteria; Bacillati; Chloroflexota.